GUUAACUUUAUUAAUUAAUAAGAAUCGGAUUUCUGUCGAUUGGUUCGGAGAAGAUUCACGGACUUGCGAUAAGUGAAAUUUUAACGCGAUAUCUAUAGAAAAUAUAUGAAAUUAGAGAAUAUACUUUACGUAAUACAACGGCGAUUUAAUAUCUUUGAAAUCAAUUAGACGAAUUGCUAAUCAAUUUGGAUAUUUCCACCCAUAACUGUUAUUUACGAAUACCAUGGAAUUAUUGCAUCGAUUUAUUCGCCACUCUCGUUCGGUUAAUAACAAAGAGAACCGUGUUAUAUCGGAUGCGACGAUACCAGACGAGACGCGAGCGUGGAACGCCUCGAGUCGAACCGAGACAAUGGCGAGGACGAUGUCGAAACGGGGCACGAAAUCACCGUGAACUCGUUGCAAACGUACGCGAGAGGAAUUAACCAGAAUCGUGACUCACUCGCCGAUUGCCACCGCGACACGAGCGAAACGAGCGUUUUUCUCACGUUUUGUUUGAAGUAACGAGAGAUUAGCUGGCAGCGAUAAUUUUCAAAGUACACAAAGAAACAUGCUCGAGGGAAAUACGAAAAAAAGUAGGAAUUCUGGUACAUUCGGCUAAACCAAGAAGAUACGUAGAAGCAGAUACACAGUACAAUUGCGAAUAACGAGGGCUCAGACGUAUUCUUAAUUGCUAAUUGACUUUAAUAGCAGUGUGCCGAAGCGUACGCGUUUGAUGAUCAAACGCACAGAAUAAUUGGUAGAACUAAUUAAACGAUGCUAUCACGGAGGAACGUGACUCCUUAAUUAUUUCGAGCAGUCGCGAUGGCAUAUUAAUCACGGUGUAAUGUAAAUUAUGUGCGUUAUCACGGCUAGUAGAAUACGCGUACAUUGAAGCGUC
RNAcentral lists this unclassified non-coding RNA (877 nucleotides) under Bombus terrestris (buff-tailed bumblebee). RNAcentral's name for it is "misc RNA ENSBTSG00005023530.1". The record is from RNAcentral. Lineage: Eukaryota; Metazoa; Arthropoda; Insecta; Hymenoptera; Apidae.